GUGGCUGUAGUAUAGUGGUUAGUACCCCACGUUGUGGCCGUGGAGCCCUGGGCUCGAUUCCCAGCAGCCACA
Molecule: transfer RNA, 72 nt
Filed under: Brassica napus (rape)
Lineage: Eukaryota; Viridiplantae; Streptophyta; Magnoliopsida; Brassicales; Brassicaceae
Description: tRNA-His (GTG) (tRNA-His-GTG-3-1)
Rfam family: tRNA
About the family: Transfer RNA (tRNA) molecules are approximately 80 nucleotides in length. Their secondary structure includes four short double-helical elements and three loops (D, anti-codon, and T loops).
Source: RNAcentral